This 44-nucleotide ribosomal RNA is filed under the name Coccomyxa onubensis. RNAcentral describes it as "partial 28S ribosomal RNA". Lineage: Eukaryota; Viridiplantae; Chlorophyta; Trebouxiophyceae; Coccomyxaceae. The record is from RNAcentral.
UCGACCUGAGUUCAGGCAAGGGCACCCGCUGAAUUUAAGCAUAU